Molecule: ribosomal RNA, 497 nt
Filed under: uncultured bacterium
Lineage: Bacteria
Description: partial 16S ribosomal RNA
Rfam family: Bacterial small subunit ribosomal RNA
Source: RNAcentral
GAUGAACGCUGGCGGCGUGCCUAAUACAUGCGAGUCGAGCGAACGGACGAGAAGCUUGCUUCUCUGAUGUUAGCGGCGGACGGGUGAGUAACACGUGGAUAACCUACCUAUAAGACUGGGAUAACUUCGGGAAACCGGAGCUAAUACCGGAUAAUAUUUUGAACCGCAUGGUUCAAAAGUGAAAGACGGUCUUGCUGUCACUUAUAGAUGGAUCCGCGCUGCAUUAGCUAGUUGGUAAGGUAACGGCUUACCAAGGCAACGAUGCAUAGCCGACCUGAGAGGGUGAUCGGCCACACUGGAACUGAGACACGGUCCAGACUCCUACGGGAGGCAGCAGUAGGGAAUCUUCCGCAAUGGGCGAAAGCCUGACGGAGCAACGCCGCGUGAGUGAUGAAGGUCUUCGGAUCGUAAAACUCUGUUAUUAGGGAAGAACAUAUGUGUAUGUAACUGUGCACAUCUUGACGGUACCUAAUCAGAAAGCCACGGCUAACUACGUG